Molecule: ribosomal RNA, 244 nt
Filed under: uncultured bacterium
Lineage: Bacteria
Description: partial 16S ribosomal RNA
Rfam family: Bacterial small subunit ribosomal RNA
Source: RNAcentral
UAUGCGACCGGCGCACGGUGAGUAACACGUAUCCAACCUGCCGAUGACUCGGGGAUAGCCUUUCGAAAGAAAGAUUAAUACCCGAUGGCAUAGUUCUUCCGCAUGGUAGAACUAUUAAAGAAUUUCGGUCAUCGAUGGGGAUGCGUUCCAUUAGGUUGUUGGCGGGGUAACGGCCCACCAAGCCUUCGAUGGAUAGGGGUUCUGAGAGGAAGGUCCCCCACAUUGGAACUGAGACACGGUCCAA